UGGGAACAUUCUGUAUUAAUUUUUAUUAGCAAACACAGUAUGCAAAUGGAAAGCAGCGUGAUGCACUAGGUCAGGGUACCAGCAGAUGUGCUCAGUUUCUGUCACAGCACCCUCUUUGUUCACUUUCAAAGUGUGACAGUUCCUCCUGACCUCAUUAAGUUGUUGGUAAGAGAAAUACAUUUAAAGAUUGUGAGGAAUUGAAUGGGAGAUACAAAUACUUAAGAAGUAGAAUGCAAGUGGUAAUUGAUGAUGUGUAAUGUCAGUGGAGUUACAAGCAGUGCACAUAGGCUGUAUUUUGUUAUUUCUCCUUGUCGAUCAAAUGUGAUGAAUCAUAAAAUCCAUGGAGAUUAAGCCUCUAAAUCAGAUUCCUUAAGGCAGACGUGCUGUGGAAUACUCUGAAAUUUAUGAGGUUCUCUUAGCUGCUGGCCCAUGGAAAGGUUAAAUCUGAUGAUUACAGGAUGUGGUCAUGCUGAUUUCAUGCUCGUUUACUUCCAAAUUAUAGCCAUAUAGUCUUCAGAAUGAAAGAAAACCAGCCUGUAUUAUCCUGGGGACAAAUGCAAUCAAUUGCCAACAAUGUCUUAUAAACAGCUGUCACGGUUUAUAGGAGUUUUCUGGUAACUGAUGUAUGUAUUGAUUUAAAACAUUUCCUAGCCUUGCUAGGGAAGAAGGGUCUCCAGUGUGAACUGAACGGCACGAUGCACUCAUGCAGAAUUACUCAUGGAUAUUAAUUUUUGAAGUAUUUGAAGCCCAAGACCUGCAGUGAGUUCUGCCUGUGAGCACAAGUCUAUCAGUGUGAUUCAGAAUGAAGGCAUUAAUUGGGUGUGACAAAGCAGAGUUGUGUCUGGACAAGCAGCAAACUAGAUGCCAACUCCAUUUCGUGAAGCAGAGAUGACGUGGGAGGUCUGCUGUGUCUGCACCGAGCCCUGUUAGCUCCACACACACAGCAGGGUGGUGGGCACCCGCUCCAGGACUGGAGCUGUGGUUUGCAACCCCAAACCGAGGGGACUGUGGUACACAAGUGACAAGAAGAGUGGCGACAACCUGUGCCGUGCCACAACACCUCAUCGUGAGGCUGUCUCCGGCUCUUAAAGCCUUAUGAAGUAAGUUGUUCACCACUGGCUUAAUGAGAGACAAUUAAUUCUCAUUGCUUAUUGUCGAUAACAAAUGUGGCAAGCUCUGCCCUGAAGCAACCAUAGUUAUUAACGCUGACUGUUUAAACUAUGAAUAGAUACAGAUGAUUAACCAUGCCUCUGAAAGAACCAAGAAACACACGUUCUUUGAUCACCAAGUCUGUACGAGCGAACGGCACUGUAAUGGGUUUGGAGAGAUGUGAGAGAAGUUAAUGCUAUGAUACUGCUGUAGACACUUUCUCCACACGCACCUUGAUAGCUCAGUGGUUGGUAGGAACAAGAACAUUACAUUUCACUUCGCUUUGGGGUGUGUUUAUAUGAGUAAGAUCAAAGAUAUAUUGUACAGAUCAAAGAUAUAUUAAAAAAAUCAGAAACUUU
RNAcentral lists this long non-coding RNA (1508 nucleotides) under Strigops habroptila (Kakapo). RNAcentral's name for it is "lncRNA (ENSSHBG00005008470.1)". Lineage: Eukaryota; Metazoa; Chordata; Aves; Psittaciformes; Psittacidae. The record is from RNAcentral.